UGUCCCUUCGGGGACAUCCCGAUAAAAUUGGAUACAGAGAAGAUUAGGCUGGAGUGUGUGGUUGGAGCCCCUAGGGGCUUUAUCAGGCCACGUAAGCAUCACCUAGGAUCCACCUCAGCCAUAAGGCUUUAUCACGCCCUUCUUUAACUUGCAUGGUGUGUAUGAGCCCCUAUUAAAAAAAUAAAAAAAAAAAACAAAAGAUUUCAUUGGGUGAAAUGACAUGAGCCUUACCUGAUAAAGCCCUUCGAGCUCGUUACCAUGACGGAGUCCCAUCAAUGGCGCCCCUUCUUAAAAUGGUGGGUGUAUAGCGCCGGGGGGCGCUAUAGAGUGUGAGGUGGCGAGGGUGGCGCCCCCACGGCCCACACCCUCCGGCCUUAGCAUGGCCCCUGCGCAAGGUUGACACGCACAAAUCGAGAAAUUGUCUAAAUAUUU
Molecule: small nuclear RNA, 432 nt
Filed under: Helianthus annuus (common sunflower)
Lineage: Eukaryota; Viridiplantae; Streptophyta; Magnoliopsida; Asterales; Asteraceae
Source: RNAcentral